GAUGAACGCUGGCGGCGUGCCUAACACAUGCAAGUCGAACGAAAACACGAUAAGCUUUUUCUUCUACGGGUAGCGGCGGGCGGACGGGUAAGAAGUAGAUAGCCAUCUACUAAUUCUUGGAGGAUAACGGGAAAAAAGUGCCGCUACUACAGAAUAUAAUGUACCGGUUGGAUCAAGAGUGCAUGACAGCUUUCGUGACACAUUGAGAUGGAGUCGCGCCGCAUUAGCUAGUUGGUAAGGUAACGGCAUACCAAGGCGACGAUGCGUAGCCGAUCUGAGAGGAUGAUCGGCCACACUGGAACUGAGACACGGUCCAGACUCCUACGGGAGGCAGCAGUAGGGAAUAUUCGGCAAUGGGCGAAAGCCUGAUGGAGCAACGCCGCGUGGGUGAUGAAGGUCUUCGGAUCGUAAAGCUCUUUUGUUGGGAAAGAACAAAUGCGGGUGUAACUAUGGAUGUCUUGACGGUACCUAAACAAUAAGCCACGGCUAACUACGUG
Molecule: ribosomal RNA, 497 nt
Filed under: uncultured bacterium
Lineage: Bacteria
Description: partial 16S ribosomal RNA
Rfam family: Bacterial small subunit ribosomal RNA
Source: RNAcentral